AGUUACAGAUCUGUCACACAUAGAAGUUCCACUGCUUAGAGAGACAUUGCUCAGCUACCAUGGUCCUACUGAGAAUUCCAUCUCUCCCAAAGAGUACAAACAGUAGAAGGUUCAAGCCAGUAUACGUUUGGGUUCAGCAAAAAACCCUGCAUCCCAGCUGCUUCCAGGUCCUCAGACUUUGUUAAUCUGGAGGAAGAAGAAAACCUGUCAAAAGAUGCCCUUUACUUGGCUGUGAUCUGUUGCAGAAAUAUCCACGCAUCUCUGGGAAAGUCACUUGGCCUGCAGAAGAAUGACAGGUUUGGGAAGACAGCACAGUAACAGCCAGCACCAAGACGGGCUCAUCAGAGAAUACGCUGGGGCAGUGCUGGAGCACUCGGUUGGCGGUCCUGCAUGCGGAAAGCCGGGAGCCAAUGGUUUGCAGAGAGCAGAGGUUGCAGAAGACAAGGGCUCGCUAAGAGGGUCAGACCUCCCUCUUGUCAAAAUCCUACCCUGCUAGGACGAAGGGGUGAGGGAAGGCAGGCGGCCAGAGUGAAGGACCGCUGGAAGUGAAGAGGAACCGAGGGCUCCUAGGUGCACAUUGUUGGAGGCAGCAUCCUGCGGUGGCUUUCUCUGAACUCCUGCUGCCUGGACUGAAUCCCGAUCAACUUUCCUGCCCCGUGUCCUUCCUCAGGCUGCCUGCCCACCACUACCCCUUCCCUAAGCUCUAAAGCAGGUUGCAUGGAAACGAGCGCAGAAACAUGGCAGGCAGCAGCAGGAGGGCAAAGGCAGCUGAGAUGGGCCUGGAGCUAUACACCCUUUUGGAGCUUCCUCUUGCUCCCCCCACCCCCACUCGAACCCCAUUCGAAAACUGAAGUGUUGUUUCCACUUCCAAAUGGAAUUUUUAAAAGUGAAACUCAAUGCUCUCCAACAGAAAGCGCAAAUGUUCAGUUACGAGAUA
Molecule: long non-coding RNA, 937 nt
Organism: Mesocricetus auratus (golden hamster)
Lineage: Eukaryota; Metazoa; Chordata; Mammalia; Rodentia; Cricetidae
Exons: 3
Source: RefSeq, a predicted model, not a curated record